GGAGCAGAGACCAAAGGAAGGUUCAUCUGGGGACUGCCCCAGUGGGGGAUCCAUCUUGUCUGCAGACACCAAAUAGGACACUAUGAUCAAGCAGCACUGGCUGACAGGAACCUGGUAUGGCUGCUCCUUUGGAGGCUCAGCCAACAACUGACCAAUGCAGAUGUGAAAGCUUGAAGCCAACCAGCAGACUGAGAGACCCUGGUGGAGGAGCUGUCAGAAGGCCUGGAGAAGCAGAGGGGGAUUGCGACCCCAUAUGAAGAACAGCAUUGGCUGUCUGGACCACCUAGUGCUUGCAGUUCUGCAAUGUAACACGAGGAGAGCAGGUCUCUCAAGGAGUAAUUACUCACACUUCAGAGUGAAGCCUUGCAUUUAUGGAUAACUGUCACCAUAUGGAGAUUGCUUUUAUGUGAGUCUCUGCUGUCCUGAAAUUCAAGGUGACAACAAGUUUAGAAUAAUGACUUUUCAUUCUGCCUUCAGCCUUGGGGAAGGAAAUAAUGUAUAAGAUGCUGUACUUCUCUAUAAGUUUGAUUAGCAAGCGACAUCGCCUGGGAAAGAACCCCUAAAACCAGCUCUCACUGUGCGUUUAACUUCUCAGCUCCUGGCCAACUCCCCAUUAUGACACUGUCACUGAAGAAUCUGUUUCCAGAAACAACUUGAAGGAAACAUUUAUUUGGGAUCAUACUUCAAGGUGAAAGGUGAAGUCCAUCCUGGCACAGAGUUGAGCCAGCAGAACCUUGAAGUAACUGAUUACAUUAGGGCCAUAGUCAGGAAGAAGAGAGCAAUAAAUACUGUGAAAAGGCAAUGCUUUCCUCCAGAGAAAGUCCAACAUCACAUCCCAGGAAAUGGUGCCACCCACAACGGGAUGUCUUCUUAUAUCAAUUAAUCAAGACCAUCCUUCACAGGUAUUCCCAUGGCUAAUAUAACCUGCAUAAUUAUCUCUUGUAGGUAUGUUCAGAGACUUCUUUGCUAAGAAAUUCUAGAUCUUUAGUUUUUAUUAAUUAUUCCAUUUGUUUACAUCUCAAAUGAUAUCCCACUUCCUGGUUACCACUCCACCGACGCCCCCAUCCCACAUCUGCCCUUUCACCUCCCCUUUGCCUAUACGAGGGUGCUUCCUGGCCCACCCAUAC
Molecule: small RNA, 1127 nt
Filed under: Rattus norvegicus (Norway rat)
Lineage: Eukaryota; Metazoa; Chordata; Mammalia; Rodentia; Muridae
Description: uncharacterized LOC103691856
Source: RNAcentral